Molecule: ribosomal RNA, 1375 nt
Filed under: Therea olegrandjeani
Lineage: Eukaryota; Metazoa; Arthropoda; Insecta; Blattodea; Corydiidae
Description: 16S ribosomal RNA
Rfam family: Archaeal large subunit ribosomal RNA (bases 880-1255)
Source: RNAcentral
UCGAUAUAAUUUGAUGAUUUUUAUUUUACUAUAGGGAUAGAGUAGGGAAAAUUUAGAUAUUAAAAAUAAUUAGUUGUUAUUGUACAUAUUGUGGAUAAAAUAUUUUUGGUUAUAGUUGAGUUUUAUUGUGAAAGGUAAUUAUUAAUUCUUGUAAAAGUUGAUUUUUGUUUUGUGCCUUGUGUAUCAGGAUAUAUUUAAUUAAGUUAUUUAUUUUCUUUUCUCGAAUUUAAAAGAGCUAAUUUUUUAUUAUGUUUAUUGUUGUAUAAAUGUCGUUAAUAUUUAUUGGUAGUGAAAUGUUAAUCGUUUUUAAAGAUAUCUAGUUACUUAAGAAAUGAAUUUAAUUUGGCUUUAUUUUUUUAUUUAUAUAAUUAUAAAUAUUGAUUUUAAUUAUGAAGUAAGUUUGUAAGGGAUUAUCUUUAUGAGUUGUUUGUUAUAAUUUAUUGUUUUGUUAGAAUUAUUUUGGUUUAGAAGUGAUUAUAAUUUAAGGUGUUUUAAAACUUUGUUUGUAAAGUUGUUUUAUUUAUAAGUUUAUUUAACUUUUAUAUUAAGUUGAUUUUUUUAAUUUUUAUUGAGGUGUAUUUAUUAUAUAAUUAGUAUAAUGUAUUUUUAGUUAAUAUUUAUUGUUGUUAGGCUAUAUUAAGGAAUUAGGCAAAAGAUGUAAUGUGUCCGUUUGUUUAACAAAAACAUUUCUUCUAUGUUUUUAAUUGGAAGUAUGACCUGCCCACUGAUAAUUUGAAUGGCCGCGGUAUUUUGACCGUGCAAAGGUAGCAUAAUCAUUAGUCUAUUAAUUGUAGGCUGGAAUGAAUGGUUGGACGAGGCUCAAACUGUCUUGAUUUUGUUGAAUUAUAAUUUAAUUUUUAGAUAAAAAGGUCUAGAUGUUUUCAUGGGACGAGAAGACCCUAUAGAGUUUAAUAUAAUAGCAUGUUUAUUUAAGUAGGAUAAUUUUUGUUUGGUAAAUAUUAAUUGUAUUUUGUUGGGGUGAUAGCGAGGAUAUGAAUAACUCUUGUUUUUUGUUACUUUAAUGAUUAUGAAUUUUAAAGAUCCAUUAUUAGUGAUUAUAAGACUAAAUUACCUUAGGGAUAACAGCGUAAUCUUUUCGGAGAGUUCAAAUCGAUGAAGGGGGUUGCGACCUCGAUGUUGGAUUAAGAUAAAUUAUAGGUGAAGAAGUUUAUAUAAUUAGGUCUGUUCGACCUUUAAAAUCUUACAUGAUCUGAGUUCAAACCGGCGUGAGCCAGGUUGGUUUCUAUCUAUGAAAUGAGUAAACAUUUUAGUACGAAAGGACCAAGUGUUUAAAAUAAUUUUUUGUGAUUGAUUAUUAUUAAUUAUUACUUUGGCAGAUAAGUGCAUUGAAUUUAGAAUUCAUAGAUGUAGAUAU